This 394-nucleotide unclassified non-coding RNA is filed under the name Hevea brasiliensis (rubber tree). Lineage: Eukaryota; Viridiplantae; Streptophyta; Magnoliopsida; Malpighiales; Euphorbiaceae. The record is from RNAcentral.
GGAGCAUAUAAAAAGCCAAAAGGACUUGAUCGCACCAUGAAUCCCAUGUGACGGAGCUCACUGAGAAUCACUGUCCGAGAAGAACUAGGACUCGAGAAGACUGCGACGUCGUUUCCCCCCGGGACUACCCUCUGCAACUCCACUUCACCUCCGUCCUCACUGUCAGCGUGUCAGAUUUACAAAUGGGAGAUCCACGGUUGGAGUCAGAAGAAGGCCUGAAUGAAGAUGAUUACAAGUUUGUUUUGUUGACCAAGGAUGGGAAAAUUAUAUGUAGGACACAAUGCUUAAAUCCUCCUGCAAAAGUGCCUCAACGUUGGAAUUUGCAUGAAAUUGUCCCAAGAUCUAGGGUAAAAAUCCCUCCUGAUCUGCCUCAUUGCUUUUUACGCCCUGCUGC